GCUUAACACAUGCAAGUCGAGGGGCAGCAUGGUCUUAUCUUGCUAAGGCCGAUGGCGACCGGCGCACGGGUGAGUAACACGUAUCCAACCUGCCGUCUACUCUUGGACAGCCUUCUGAAAGGAAGAUUAAUACAAGAUGGCAUCAUGAGUCCGCAUGUUCACAUGAUUAAAGGUAUUCCGGUAGACGAUGGGGAUGCGUUCCAUUAGAUAGUAGGCGGGGUAACGGCCCACCUAGUCUUCGAUGGAUAGGGGUUCUGAGAGGAAGGUCCCCCACAUUGGAACUGAGACACGGUCCAAACUCCUACGGGAGGCAGCAGUGAGGAAUAUUGGUCAAUGGGCGAGAGCCUGAACCAGCCAAGUAGCGUGAAGGAUGACUGCCCUAUGGGUUGUAAACUUCUUUUAUAAAGGAAUAAAGUCGGGUAUGGAUACCCGUUUGCAUGUACUUUAUGAAUAAGGAUCGGCUAACUCCGUGCCAGCAGCCGCGGUAAUACGGAGGAUCCGAGCGUUAUCCGGAUUUAUUGGGUUUAAAGGGAGCGUAGAUGGAUGUUUAAGUCAGUUGUGAAAGUUUGCGGCUCAACCGUAAAAUUGCAGUUGAUACUGGAUAUCUUGAGUGCAGUUGAGGCAGGCGGAAUUCGUGGUGUAGCGGCGAAAUGCUUAGAUAUCACGAAGAACUCCGAUUGCGAAGGCAGCCUGCUAAGCUGCAACUGACAUUGAGGCUCGAAAGUGUGGGUAUCAAACAGGAUUAGAUACCCUGGUAGUCCACACGGUAAACGAUGAAUACUCGCUGUUUGCGAUAUACAGCAAGCGGCCAAGCGAAAGCGUUAAGUAUUCCACCUGGGGAGUACGCCGGCAACGGUGAAACUCAAAGGAAUUGACGGGGGCCCGCACAAGCGGAGGAACAUGUGGUUUAAUUCGAUGAUACGCGAGGAACCUUACCCGGGCUUAAAUUGCAGAUGAAUUACGGUGAAAGCCGUAAGCCGCAAGGCAUCUGUGAAGGUGCUGCAUGGUUGUCGUCAGCUCGUGCCGUGAGGUGUCGGCUUAAGUGCCAUAACGAGCGCAACCCUUGUUGUCAGUUACUAACAGGUUCCGCUGAGGACUCUGACAAGACUGCCAUCGUAAGAUGUGAGGAAGGUGGGGAUGACGUCAAAUCAGCACGGCCCUUACGUCCGGGGCUACACACGUGUUACAAUGGGGGGUACAGAGGGCCGCUACCACGCGAGUGGAUGCCAAUCCCAAAAACCUCUCUCAGUUCGGACUGGAGUCUGCAACCCGACUCCACGAAGCUGGAUUCGCUAGUAAUCGCGCAUCAGCCACGGCGCGGUGAAUACGUUCCCGGGCCUUGUACACACCGCCCGUCAAGCCAUGGGAGCCGGGGGUACCUGAAGUGCGUAACCGCGAGGAGCGCCCUAGGGUAAAACUGGUGACUGG
Molecule: ribosomal RNA, 1428 nt
Filed under: uncultured bacterium
Lineage: Bacteria
Description: 16S ribosomal RNA
Rfam family: Bacterial small subunit ribosomal RNA
Source: RNAcentral